Long non-coding RNA from Clupea harengus (Atlantic herring), 8205 nucleotides. The record is from Ensembl. NCBI's taxonomy places the organism in Eukaryota, Metazoa, Chordata, Actinopteri, Clupeiformes, Clupeidae.
AUAAUUCAACAGAACUCACACUUACUGUUGCCAACAAUCAGCCUUGUACCAGUUCCAAAGAUCAUUUUGUUGGUGUUCUGUGUCACACAGUACUUUAGUCUCACACAUAUACUUCAAGGCAAAUGGGGAAAUCUGAAGUCUGAAAUUAACACAAAUUUUUGCUAUUUUGACCAACAAUCUACACUAGUGGAUCAGUAGAAUUUUGUAAAAGUACUUACUGGAAAAGACAGCUAGUUUGGUUCCGGUUGCAAAGAUUAUUUUCUUCAGUCCAGUAGUUACACAAUAUGGGGCAUCCCAGCAAAAACCAGGCUUAUGCAUGUACUUUUGCACAAAGCUCUCAUCACAAGAUACCUUGGUUUAUGCUAAUUUUGUAGAUAUAAUUAGAAAACAUUCAUAUUCAAAGAUAUUCAAAUACAUAUUUCUCUAUCAAACGUUUUAUGGCAUCUAUCUUACUGCUAAAUAAGAAAACAAACAAGGGUGUAAACAACUUACUUUUCUCAAUUAUCAGCUUUGUGCCAUUUCCAAAAAUAAGCUUAGCAAGUCCACCUCCAGUAGUCACACUACUAAAAACUUCACAACAAAUACUAUUGACUGCUCUAUUGUCAUAAAAAAAUUGGUGCAGAAUACUCACUUGAUUCAAUUAGUAAUUUGGUGCCACUUCCAAAGAUAAGCUUGCCAUUUCCACUACCAGAAUUCACACAUCAUGCAGCAUCAUGACAAGAACACCUCACAAGGAGUCUUAAGGACGACCUAUGUUUUAAUCUAUCUCAAAUAGCUCCUGACAUACACAAUGAAAUGUAUACAUAUUUAUACUGCAUUGUGCAACCAGGGCUUUGUCAAAUCUAUAUUUACCAUUUCUCUAUCAGGUCUGGAUUCUUUGUAGAAGUAAAAGUUAAACUUUUAACAUUAAUAGGGAAGAGCAACAGUAAAGUUCCUAAGAAUAUACCAUUAUAAUUGUUUAUAACAUACUUACUUGUUUGGACAAUGACUUUGGUUCCAUGAGCAAAGAGAAGUUUUGCCUGAUUACUAGUAGUCACACAGUGUCAUACCUGACUACAUAAACUUGAAUAUUUAAUAUUAUGAGUUACAAUCUGUACAUUAAUUGUACAAAUGAAUUGUCCAUUGUAAUUUCAACUUUCCACCAUUUAUCUAACCAACGUCCAAAUCCGAUGCAUGUUGUGAAAAAGUAAAUUAGGCUUACUUGUUUGUACAAGUACAGUGGUUCCCCUUCCAAAGAUAAUCUUCAUUCACACACUGGGUAAUGGCUUAUCAAAAAUUACAAGAGCUGCUCUUCCAAUCCAAAGCACAUAACAUACUCCUUACAUAAUUUGUUUAUGGUUAUGGUUGUAGUAUUCAGUAGACGCUUUAGUUUACUAAAGAUGAUACUACUUAAGAUGAUUUGCAUUUUUGAUUAAUUGAUGAUUUUCAGUGCAUUGUGAUGCAGUGUUAUUAUAGGACUUUCAUUUCACAGAAACUUGGGAUUUUGUCGGAUGUCAAUAGUAUUAUAUAACAAAGAACCAGGAGAACUACAAAACAUCUACAGAAUACUCACUUGAUUCAAUUAGUAAUUUGGUGCCACUUCCAAAGAUAAGCUUGCCAGAUCCACCCCCAGCAGUCACACAUUAUGCAGCAUCAUGACAAGAACACCUUAAGGAUUUCAUUCUUAAGGACGACCUAUGUUUUAAUCUACACAAAAUGUUUCCACAUAUACAAUAAAAUGUUGUAUUUAUACUGUCUAGCCUGUUUGAUGAGCAUCUGCUAAUAGCAAAAAUGCUAAAAUAAAAUGGAAUUGAUCUGUUAGUAAUGAUAGAUAUUAAUGCACUAAAUCCUGAAACACUACAACUAAAUCAUAACAAAUCCAUGUCCACUAAUUGGCCUGAAAAGAAAGGCUUUGUUCCUUUGAUAAAGGUCAGCUUUGCUGCAAAUCCACCAGCUACACAUUGCCUUAAUACACAAUAACUACCUCAAACCUGUAUGCCCAUUUCUCUCAUAUACAAUUAAGAUAUUUCAUGACAUUUCACUUGCCUGAUGCCACAGUCAGUUUAGUUCCUCGACCAAAAAUGAUCUUCCUUCCUCCCUGAUCAGUCACACUAAGUAAGACACCAUGCCAAAAACCCAGAACUAUCGACUACAUAUGUUAUAUUUUUAAGCUUUUAAGUGGAGAAAAUACUUUUAUGAUGUUUUUUAGUAAUAGUUUAUAAAGACUUGAUCGUUCAGUUAAUUGUUGGUUUAUAUACAUUUUGGUUUGAGUAACGCUAUUAUGACAAUUACAAUUUAAAAAAAUGUCUCAUACAUCUCAAUAGCAUUCACAUUUAUAAACACUACACUUAGAUACAUUUAAUACGUAAUUAAUACGUGUAUUUGAUAUAGAUGUGUAUAUCUUUUAACUACAUUUGGGGUUGGCAUUCUUAGUUAGAAAAGUACAUUUUCUUCACUGCAAAAAGAAAAAAAGAAGAAAAUAAUACUGCUUAGCUUGUGACUUACUUGUUUGGACAAUGAGCUUAGUUCCACGUCCAAAGAAGACUCUUCCCUGACUACCAGUAUUCACACUGCAAUAUAUCUGACUACAAAAACAGGGCUAGUUGCUCCCACUCUGACUUGAUUCACAUUCCACAAUUACUUACAUUAAUUUCAAACAGUUUUUCAGUCUGUUCUGUCUUAAGUCGUGCUUGUCAGGAUGACUUCAUUAUGUUCUAUCACAUGGAGUUAUUCUUAAUAUUUAGCUAGAUAUAAGUUCUGACUAAUCUUGAAAUGUUGUGAAUUUUUGGUUAGGAUAAAAAGCUUUGCUCCUUACCUAAUGGUCAGCUUGUCUACAAUCUACACAGUGCCUUCAAAACAAAUACCUAAUCCUCCUGGCGAUUUCCCUCACAUCUAAAUUAAGAGAUUUAUUGGGAUUGCACUUGCCUGAUUCCACAGUCAGUUUAGUUCCUCGACCAAAAAUGAUCUUCUGUGCUCCCUGAGUCACACUAAGAACGACACCAUGCCAAAAACCCAGAACUAUCGACAACACUUACACACUUUGUAUCAUGCAAUUUUUUUGAAAAAUAUGUUUAUCCGGCCUUUAGUAAUAGUUUAGAAGUUACUUUCGUAAUUUAAUUUAAUUUUGAAACAAGGAUUUAAAAAGACUUAUUUUAAUGGUAGUCUGGCAGUUGGUUGGCUGUUCCUUCUUAAUGCAUACUUUAGUUCAAUUCAUGUUCUAUUACUCUAACAAUGUACUACCUUUGUCCCAUUAAGAGUGUAUAUUCCUCCACUACAAGGAGUAUAAUGUCUUUCCAUAAACCCUCUUAACAAGAACAGCCUGAACAGAACAUGUCCCUGUUUGCAGACAUUUAGUGAUUUUGUGAAUUUGACUUGCCUGGUUCGACCGUCAGUUUAGUUCCUUGACCAAAAAUGAACUUAUUUCCCUGGUUAGUCACACUAAGGAAGACAUCAUGCCAAAAACCCAUGGCACAUAAAACCCAAAUUCUUUCUUUUUCAAUCCACAUCACUAAUAUAAUUAUCAUCAUGUAAUCAAAGUUCUCUUUUUAUUAAUUGAUUUCUCAUUUGUAUCACUCUUUGUAUGCUAAAAGCAUGUAAACUGAAGAGUAUGGUAUGGCAAAGUUGAGAUAUCUUUCAACUCAAAAAUCUUUCUCUUGACAUACGUAAUAUUGUUCUAUUCAUGUUCUACUGCUAUUGAAUCAUUCAAAGAGUUUGUGCAUCCACUUACUGGUGUGGAUAAAAAGCUUUGUUCCUUUGCUAAAAGUCAGCUUGUUUGAAGAUCCACUUGUCACACAGUGCAUUAGUACACAACCAAUACCUCAUCCCUGUAUACACAAUUCCCUCAUAUACAAAGUAAGAGAUGUAUUUGUAUUUCACUUGCCUGAUUCAACAGUAAGUUUAGUUCCUCGACCAAAAAAGAUCUUAUAUCCUCCCUGAGUAGUCACACAAAGUAGAAGACCAUGCCAAAAACCCAGAACUAUCGACAACACAUACAUACAUUGGAUCAUGUAAAUACUUUUAAGCUAUUUUGUGAGAAUUUAAAUGUAUAUAUUUAGAUUAGAUAUUUACAUUUAAAUUCUGACAUAGUAAUAUGUAAACUAAACAUUUUGACAGGUUAUCAAACUGCUGAGAAAUGAUUUAUUUUCAUCCAAUUGUGAUAGUAACACUUUGUCAAAUUAAAGAGUUUUCUCCCAGGAGCUACAAUGAUUUAAGGUUUUGAAAAAUAAGGAGCGAUUUCAGGUAGAAGUUGGCAUCUGGCAUCUAUUCUAAAGUUUCUAGAAAUUCUAGAAUAUACAGUAUAUAUUGAAUUUCUGUGAUUUUGUGUGAUUACUUGCCUGGUUCCACAGUCAAUUUAGUUCCUUGACCAAAAAUGAUCUUAUAUCCCUGGUUAUUCACACUAAGAAAUACAUCAUACCAAAAACCCAACAGAAGGUUACCGCAACCUCUCUCCCUUUAAUACGGAUUAAUAAUAGAAUAGAAUCAGGUAACUUGCUCAUCUAUAAACCUCUUUGAUAGCAUAAUAUGGAGAACCAGUAUACAGUUUAGCCAUCUGUCAAUACAUAUAUUUUUGUACUAAUACAGUGUUUUCUACCACACUGUAAUGCCCUAAAUGUAUUUCCCUAAAGUAUAUCAUCUAUAAACCUCUUUGAUAGAAUAAUAUACAGAACCAGUAUACAGUUUAGCUAGCUGUUGAUUCAUAUAUCUUCAUGCUAAUACAGUGUAUUCUACUGCCCUGUAAUGCCCUAAAUGUAUUUACCUUAAUAGAGUAUAUCCUAUGAAUCACACAUAAUACAGUAUGUAUCUUAGAUAUGUAAAACAUUGCUUACUUUGUUGCACUAGAAGGCGAGUCCCUUUCCCAAAGACAAUCUUAGUGCCAGCAUUAUUCACACAGACUCAUCCACCAGUCUCUAAACCUGUGUUGGUUUUCUUAACACGGAUAAAUAUUUUGUUCCAAUUCCAACAUUAAAUGUUGGUAAUAAAACAGGAAAGGAAUUCAACUACAUGACAGUAGCACGAAUACCUAGUCCAUACUGGUCACUUACUUGUCUGAAUUAAAAGUUUGGUCCCCUUCCCAAAGAUGACUUUCCUACUACCACCAGCAUCCACACAGCACUAUACCUGACUACAUUAACACCUUUGGUCUCACUCUGGAAAACAGCUCUGUGAAGAAUACUACAAACUCAUCGACCUGAUUUUAUAAAAAAUAUCCUCAAUAUUAUAAAAGUAUCUUAUUAAUUGCGUCUGAAGCAUUUCAUUUUUACACUCCUUUUCUAUCUAUGCAGACCUCUGUUGAGAUAAGAAGAAUUUGUCUUCUUUAGGGAACUAAUUCAAUAUAUACAAAUAUACUAGUGGUCUAACUAAAAGAACUGGCAGGUGACUAUGUGAGAAAAUAUGAAAAGAGACAUCGAAAGGCAAGCUAUACAAAGGUAACUCACCAGAAUAAACAAAUAGUUUAGUUCCACGGCCAAAGGUAAGUUUACCACCAGAAUACACACAACAUUCUCCCUCACUACAUUAACUUGGGUGAAGGCAAAUCAUGCCUGCUGGCUAUCAAUUAGCAUCUGAACCAAACAUACUGCUGUAAAGGUAAAUAGUAAUGUACUGUCUUGACAUAUGCGAAUAUCCUCACGUGAGCUUUAUAUUUAUAUAUGGCUUACUUUGGACCUACAUAGCAUCAUGACAUUUUGACAACCUAUACUCUGGAUAUUUCAACCUGAGUGAGUUUUAAACAUAAAAUAUCAUUCAUAUUUCAUUGUUUAUCUGGAAACAUUCAAAAUGAACUGAAGUGGGAGCAAAAUUAAAUAAAACUUACGUGAUUCCACAGUCAGUUUAGUGCCCCUACCAAAUAUGAUUUUUUCAUAGCCUCCAGUAGUCACACUGAAGUAUAGACCACAUCAAAAACUACAUACAUCUCCUCCAAAAAGCUUUUAAAGACCCCUGAUGAAUUUUUCAUUGGGGUAUUGUUAAAUUGUUCAGCAAUAGUCAGAAUUGUUAUCUGUAAGCCAUCCUACCUGAAGGGUUUUUACAUCACUGGUAUUUAACUAGUGAUGGUAGUCACUAAGGCAUUCAACUGCUUCAUUGUUUGGCCACCCACAACAGUGCAUGGUCACAGACAUAUUUAUCUCAGGUAUACAAAAUGAAAAAAAAUUAGGAAUGUAAUGCAACUGGAAGGCUAAUUAUACAGAUAAGGCUUUAGUUAUUAGUUUAUGUCACCACACCAUAAACUUUCGGAAAAAAUUCAAAAACAACCAAUUAAUACGUUUAGUAUAUAAACUUCAGGAAUAGUUGCGUACUCACUUGGACUAACUGAAAGUUUUGUUCCACGACCAAAGAACACUCUUCCAGUAGAGUCAGCUAACCCACAGUGUUGCACUAAGGCACAUUAAACAGUGUGCAUACUGCAUGCUUAAUUCUACACACUAUAAAACGUUCCAAGAACAUAUAAUGUCUGAUAUUGCCAUUUGCCAUUUCGUACGAUAUUAAUACCAAAACAACAACCAUGUCACAUCAUAUUACGAUCUGGACAGUACUGCGCAAACCCCUUUUACUGUUAAACAGCAUUUAAGUAUGCUCAUUAUGAGCCGAGAUUUUAAAUUUGAUUACCAGUACAGUCUUAAUAAAACAAAAUAUCUGAAACUCACGUGAUUCCACAAUCACUUUGGUUCCACUGCCAAAAAUAAUCUUGCCAGUUCCUUGAUUCACACCAAGACUGACAUCAUGUCAAAUACCAUGAAACGUAGUGCAUGACAUUCUUGCAAUUUUGUUGCACUUCAAACUUUUUGACAUUACAGUAAUAUUCCUUACCCUAACUUUUAAAAAGCAUUUUUGAGGGUUCCUUUUUGUUGCAACCAACACAAAGAUGGCAUAUAUAUAGCAUGUGCCCAUGUUAUAGUGUCUCAUUCACAGUAUAUUUAACACAAAGAUGGCAUAUAUAUAGCAUGGGCCCAUGUUAUAGUGUCCCAUUCACAGUAUAUUUAACAGAAAGAUGGCAUAUAUAUAGCAUGUGCCCAUGUUAUAGUGUCCCAUUCACAGUAUAUUUAACAGAAAGUCGUAUAUUCAUAGUAAUUUUUGACAUUACAUACUGUUCACUCAGAUAAGUGAUAAUCAUCCUGCUAACAGAAAUGUACUUACGUGUUUCAAUAUUAAGCCUGGUACCUUGGCCAAAGAUGACUUUUCCAACAGUGCCAGUAUUCACACCACAUAACAUUACAAUAAUGUAGUCACAACUUCUGUCAAGUAUGUGGCUGGUAUAACGCUUGUAUGAUUUUCAAAUCUUAAAUUGUUGAUAUUAAAUUCUUCAGUUAUCCAAAUAAUUUACAAUUAAUAUCACUAUUAAUGAUGUAUUCUCACCUGUUUCUACAUAGAGCUGAGUUCCAUGCCCAAAGACAAUUUUAUCUGAUGAAGUCCUCACACUAUGUGUUGUAUCACACAUAAAACUCUAUCUAAUCAGUCAUCCAUCUUAAAUACAUCUCACAUUGUCCACAAGACCUCUAAUUACAAAUGCAAUCAUAGUGGCACCAAUAGUCAAUUCAUAGAAUUAUUUCAAUAGUAAGAAAGCCAUUUUCAACUCACUUGACUUAACAAUGAGCUUAGUACCACUUCCAUAAAUGAGCUUGUUGUUUCCAGAACUAGUAGUCACACUAAGCUAAACACCAUGACAAAUAUGUAGCACUGAAUCAUUACAAUUCAUUCAACAACCAGUUAUAUUCGUAAAACGAAUUUCUAAAAGCAUUUUUGAGGGUUCUUUGUCUUGUAUCACACAUAAAACCCUAUCUAAUCAGUCAUCCAUCUUAAAUACAUAUCUCGUUUCAAACUGCGGAAUAUUGACACAAGGUAGAUCUGCGCUGGAAUACACAAACAUUGUCCACAAGACCUCUAAUUACAUCUCACAAAUCAUAGGGGCACCAAUAGUCAAUUCAUAGAAUUAUUUCAAUAGUAAGGAUGAAAAAAUUUCAAAGAAGAAAGCAAUUUUCAACUCACUUGACUUAACAAUGAGCUUAGUACCACUUCCAUAAAUGAGCUUGUAGUUUCCAGAACUUGAAGUCACACUAAGCUAAACACCAUGACAAAUACGUAGCACUGAAUCCUUACAACUCAUUCAAAGGGAUACAAAUGUAAGACACUUAUUAUCUCUUAAAUAUGAUCUUAACAGUAUGUCUCUUAUGCUGUUAAUGGAAGGCUAAGGGAUUAUUUUUAACUCCUCGUGAAUGCAAUGCCAACGCAUAC